GACGAACGCUGGCGGCGUGCUUAACACAUGCCAGUCGAACGGUGAAGCUCCAGCUUGCUGGAGUGGAUCAGUGGCGAACGGGUGAGUAACACGUGAGCAACCUGCCCCUGACUCUGGAAUAAGCGCUGGAAACGGCGUCUAAUACUGGAUACGAGAAGGGUCCGCAUGGGCACUUUCUGGAAAGUUUUUCGGUUGGGGAUGGGCUCGCGGCCUAUCAGCUUGUUGGUGAGGUAAUGGCUCACCAAGGCGACGACGGGUAGCCGGCCUGAGAGGGCGACCGGCCACACGGGGACGGAGACACGGCCCAGACCCCUACGGGGGGCAGCAGGGGGGAAUAUUGCACAAGGGGCGAAAGCCUGAUGCAGGGACCCCGGGUGGGGGAGGCCGGCCUUCGGGUUGAAAACCUUUUUCAGCAGGGAAGAAGCGAAAGGGCCGGUACCUGCAAAAAAAGCCCCGGCAAACUACGG
RNAcentral lists this ribosomal RNA (467 nucleotides) under uncultured bacterium. Its description in RNAcentral is "partial 16S ribosomal RNA". It matches the Rfam family "Bacterial small subunit ribosomal RNA", at positions 28 to 506 of the family's 1533-position model. The record is from RNAcentral.